AUGUCAUUCCUAGAAUCAGCUGGACUCACAUAUAGUGCUUAGUAUUCAUUGGGCUUCUCAUUUUUCAUUCAUUUUCGUUCAUUUUUCCUGAUGUUGCUAUUACUCGGUAUUGCUACAUCAAUCCCUAUAGCUUUCUUCUUCUCUUUGUUCACCACUACUAUGUCUGUUGGUUAGCCAUCAACAGCUUGUCUAUAUGUGAAAGUCCCACAGUCAUCUUCUACCACCCUAAGAGGCAUUUCCCAUUUUGAUCUUGGGAGUUCCAGGCCAUACCCUGGUGCAAGGAGUUAUGUGACGAGGAUGUGGGGCCAAUGGAUUCUUCAACACCCUAACAUCAAAACAACUAGUAGCUCAGUGUUCCAACAUCUGUGAGAAGCAACUGAUGCUACAAAUGCUAGGAGGAGCCAUCAGACGUCAGGUCAGUGGACGGAUGACAUCAUCACUUAUGGAACAACUUAUGGAACAACUUUUAUGUUCACUGUGAGAGCAGCUGACCUGAAAGAAAAUACUGUGGCUAAGCUGGAAUCCUGGACUCCUCUGUCUUAUCAAGAGUACGUGAGGCACCAUUUGAAAGUCUACUAGAAGAUAUAAAUGCAGCAUUAUGGACAAUCCCUACUGCCACCAACCAGGUGAUCUAUCCCACAGCAACAUCAGCUGAGAUGCUAGGCUAUGAGAUGAACAACAGCCACGAGGACCAGGACUAUCCAUUGAGAAGAAGACUAGAGGCCUAGAUCAGGGCAGUAUGGAGGGAUGGUUGACCACUAUGGGAACUGCAGAAAUGCAUGCUGUAGAAAGGGUACAACUAAGUACUAAGAAGUACAGCAAGCUGCCUAUACCCAAGGCUUUAGAAACUGCCAAUCAAAGACUCACAGUGUUGACUAACUGUUUGAAGAGAUAUAACAGAGAGAUAGAGGCUAGAAGACUAAACCAGCUGUUCUUCACUGAAUCAUCCAAGGUGUACUCUCAGUAGCAGUGGAAUAAUAUGAGAUCACUCCUGAAGAGGCUGGAGACAGAGCAAUAGAGGAAGAGGACAUGACAGAAGAAUGCAACACAUAAGAACAAUGCUCAGUGGAUGGUGGAUGUUUGAGUUGUGACCUGCUAACUAAAUUUGCAUGAUCCUGGACUAUCUGGAGGGGCCAGGAUUGGGGUUGGAACCAUCAACCCGGACCGAACCACCCAACCUACCACCUGAGCUACACACCCCACAUUGUGUCUUUGGUUCUGUCUCCCUCUCCUCACUUCCACUGGCCACAGCAGAUGGCUGCCUCUCCUUGAGCCUGGUUCUACCAGAGGUUUCUUUCUCUUAAAAGAG
This is a long non-coding RNA of Oreochromis aureus, 1309 nucleotides long. RefSeq lists it as uncharacterized. Lineage: Eukaryota; Metazoa; Chordata; Actinopteri; Cichliformes; Cichlidae. The transcript has 3 exons. The record is from RefSeq and is a predicted model, not a curated record.